AACAUAGGGGGUAAGCGUUGUCCGGAAUCACUGGGCGUAAAGGGCGCGUAGGUGGUCUGUUAAGUCAGAUGUGAAAUGUAAGGGCUCAACCCUUAACGUGCAUCUGAUACUGGCAGACUUGAGUGCGGAAGAGGCAAGUGGAAUUCCUAGUGUAGCGGUGAAAUGCGUAGAUAUUAGGAGGAACACCAGUGGCGAAGGCGACUUGCUGGGCCGUAACUGACGCUGAGGCGCGAAAGCGUGGGGAGCAAACAGG
Molecule: ribosomal RNA, 253 nt
Filed under: Peptococcus niger
Lineage: Bacteria; Bacillati; Bacillota; Clostridia; Eubacteriales; Peptococcaceae
Description: partial 16S ribosomal RNA
Rfam family: Bacterial small subunit ribosomal RNA
Source: RNAcentral